UACGGAGGGUGCGAGCGUUAAUCGGAAUUACUGGGCGUAAAGGGUGCGUAGGUGGUUUGAUAAGUUAUCUGUGGAAUCCCCGGGCUUAACUUGGGCAGGUCAGAUAAAACUGUUGGACUCGAGUAUGGGAGAGGGUAGUGGAAUUUCCGGUGUAGCGGUGAAAUGCGUAGAGAUCGGAAGGAACACCAGUGGCGAAGGCGGCUACCUGGCCUAAUACUGACACUGAGGCACGAAAGCGUGGGGAGCAAACAGG
RNAcentral lists this ribosomal RNA (253 nucleotides) under uncultured bacterium. Its description in RNAcentral is "partial 16S ribosomal RNA". It matches the Rfam family "Bacterial small subunit ribosomal RNA", at positions 524 to 776 of the family's 1533-position model. The record is from RNAcentral.